This 300-nucleotide unclassified non-coding RNA is filed under the name Hevea brasiliensis (rubber tree). Lineage: Eukaryota; Viridiplantae; Streptophyta; Magnoliopsida; Malpighiales; Euphorbiaceae. The record is from RNAcentral.
AUAUGCUGCAAUGAGCAGCUUGAUGUUGUCUAAAUAAUGGCAUGUUCAUUGUCACAGACAGUCACAAAUAGAUUAUUUAUGGCCAUAUUUUGAUAAGUAUACACUAUAGAAGUGGCAUCUCUUCUACUCUAUAUUCUGGUUUUUGCACUUCUUGAUGAGACCAUUUGAUCACAUCUGGGAGUGGUUUACCUUCCUACAUCUUGGAUGCAUCUGCUGUUACUCCGGUCAAAGCAAUGGCUGCUUUGGAUCCGGAUGGGCGGUCCAAAUGCUUGCUGAUGAACUCCCCGGCUAGCAGGAGGU